CUAACUGACCUAGAUUUUUAUCAAGCAUAUGUUUUCUGUUAUCUGACACAUGAUUGGUCACAUCCACAUCAUUAUUAGACAUUUAUUCUCAUCCCUUUUGACUAUUUAUAUGCUAACACUUUCCUUAUAUUAAUAAAUUUUCAACAUACGUGUUUCAACAAACCCAGCACUGGCAAUCCAGAUCUGAUGUUUUACAGAGAGGCAUGGAACAAGAAAAUACAUGUCUAAGACUAUAUAAAAUAAGUCUAAACUUGACAAUCAGAAGAAACAAGAACAUAAAUAAAUGUCGGUCUUUUCCAUUAUAGAUAAAUUAAAAUACAUCAUUAAUAAAAUACGUACACUUUGCAAUAUGAACUUAGACCUGAAACAAAGUAAGUUGAGGUAAGGGGUAUCAAAAUUUAAAAAUAUAAUACAAUGAGACAAACAAUGUCUCAUCCAAAUGAUUGAAGGUAUGCUUAAUAAAUAUAGUGUAUUUUUAAAUAGUUACUGACUUUAUGUAACUUUAAUCUGCUAAAUGCAUAAGAUUAAAUUUUCAUUUAUUUGAGAUUAUCUAAAAAGAAAUACGAGUCACUGAGAAGCUGGAAGCCCCUUUGGAAUAAGUAUCCUGUUAAACACAUAAAAAAUAGCUUCAUGAGUUUUCUUAGACUAUCAAGAAGGCACUAAUCAUUUCAAUUAUCUUUUUCACCUUAUAUUCUUUUUAACACAAGAGGUCAAUGAACAGUUCUUCAUUAAAUACUGACAUCAAACAUAACACAUAACAGAAGUUGUAGAGAAUGGCAGGUAUAAGUAGUGACACCAGGAAGGAAAACACUUGAUUUUACUAUCAACAACCAAGACAUGUAGGUCAUAAUGCCUUUCUAGCAUGGUGGUCUAACAGUCUAUAUAUAACCACACAAUAGCUUACUAUUAAAAGCCUCAGCAGUUUUCUCACUUCCAGUAGCAAUCUGGUUUUAAAAGCCCACUGUUUUCAUAUCUGAGUAAUACUGUCUCUAUAUUCAUUUUUUAUUUCCACCUUGUCAUUUCCCACCAAUCUCUCAAAUCAUUAUUGUUGGAUUCUGGGUAUUUCUAAUAUUCUUAUGGUCAAAUUUUCAGAUG
RNAcentral lists this long non-coding RNA (1095 nucleotides) under Bos taurus (domestic cattle). RNAcentral's name for it is "long non-coding RNA NONBTAT011114". Lineage: Eukaryota; Metazoa; Chordata; Mammalia; Artiodactyla; Bovidae. The record is from RNAcentral.